Molecule: small nuclear RNA, 289 nt
Filed under: Monodelphis domestica (gray short-tailed opossum)
Lineage: Eukaryota; Metazoa; Chordata; Mammalia; Didelphimorphia; Didelphidae
Description: 7SK RNA
Rfam family: 7SK RNA
About the family: 7SK was discovered as an abundant small nuclear RNA in the mid-70s but a possible function has only recently been suggested. Two independent studies have found that 7SK RNA binds the CDK9/cyclin T complex (known as elongation factor P-TEFb).
Source: Rfam by way of RNAcentral
GGAUGUAAGGGCAAUCUGACUGCAACAUCUGUUAUCCUAUUAUUGUCUAAGGUCAAUUUGGUUAAUCUGAUUUGCUAAGCAGGUGCUCCUUUUCUGCCUCAUUGUCCCCCUUACUCCAAAAGCUUUGAGCCUAGUUGAAAAAGACAAUCAUCCUCCAAAGAGAAGUACUGGUUUUUGGUUGAGUGUAUAUAAGAUAUUGGGCCUUCCUGCUAGAAAAGAGAAUGAAGCAGUGGUCCUAUUUUAAUGCUCCAAAUAUUAAAUUGCAUUUUCCUCAUGAUUGUUUAUCAUU